This 65-nucleotide transfer RNA is filed under the name Ptosima chinensis. Its description in RNAcentral is "tRNA-Ala". Lineage: Eukaryota; Metazoa; Arthropoda; Insecta; Coleoptera; Buprestidae. The record is from RNAcentral.
AGGAUAAUAGUUAAAAAUAACAUUUAAUUUGCACUUAAAAAGUAUUGACAUGUCAAUUUAUCUUA